AUCGAACGCUGGCGGCAGGCCUAACACAUGCAAGUCGAGCGGAUGAAGGGAGCUUGCUCCUGGACUCAGCGGCGGACGGGUGAGUAAUGCCUAGGAAUCUGCCUGGUAGUGGGGGAUAACGUCCGGAAACGGGCGCUAAUACCGCAUACGUCCUGAGGGAGAAAGUGGGGGAUCUUCGGACCUCACGCUAUCAGAUGAGCCUAGGUCGGAUUAGCUAGUUGGUGGGGUAAAGGCCUACCAAGGCGACGAUCCGUAACUGGUCUGAGAGGAUGAUCAGUCACACUGGAACUGAGACACGGUCCAGACUCCUACGGGAGGCAGCAGUGGGGAAUAUUGGACAAUGGGCGAAGGCCUGAUCCAGCCAUGCGGCGUGUGGGAAGAAGGUCUUCGGAUUGUAAAGCACGUUAAGUUGGGAGGAAGGGCAGUAAGUUAAUACCUUGCUGUUUUGACGUUACCAACAGAAUAAGCACCGGCUAACUUCGUG
RNAcentral lists this ribosomal RNA (484 nucleotides) under uncultured bacterium. RNAcentral describes it as "partial 16S ribosomal RNA". It matches the Rfam family "Bacterial small subunit ribosomal RNA", at positions 30 to 507 of the family's 1533-position model. The record is from RNAcentral.